CUGGUGCCAGCAGCCGCGGUAAUUCCAGCUCCAAUAGCGUACGUUAAAGUUGCUGCAGUUAAAAAGCUCGUAGUUGAACGUUCGGGUUCCGCGGGACGGGGCCGCCCCGCGAGGGACGGCGCCGCCCCGGGGCUCGUGAUAUCUCAUCUCGCCGCCCGUCGCGAGGCGGACGGAGGGAUGGAUGAGGUUACCUGGAAAAAAUCGGGGCGAUCUAGGCGGGCGAACCUCGCCAACGAACGAUCGGACAUGGGAUAACGGAAGAGGGCGUCGGCUCGACUUCGUCGGUUCCUCGGGCCGAGGCACGUACGGUGAAUAGGGACGGUCGGGGCCGCCCGUACCGGGUCGUGAGAGGUGAAAUUCUAGGAUCGACCCGAGACGAACCGCCGCGAAAGCAUUCGGCAAGGACGCUUUCAUUAAUCAAGAACGAAAGUCGGGGGAUCGAAGACGAUCAGAUACCGUCGUAGUCCCGACCGUAAACGAUGCCGACCGAGGGCCCGGAGGAGUUACGUACGACCCUCCGGGCCCUCCCGCGAGAAAUCAGGAGUAUUCGGGUUCCGGGGGGAGUAGUGGUCGCAAGGCCGAAACUUAAGGAA
RNAcentral lists this ribosomal RNA (593 nucleotides) under uncultured eukaryote. RNAcentral describes it as "bacterial SSU rRNA". It matches the Rfam family "Eukaryotic small subunit ribosomal RNA", at positions 561 to 1152 of the family's 1831-position model. The record is from RNAcentral.